CUUCUGGGUAGCAAAUCGUGAAUCAGCUGGUGCAUUAGGCCGGUAAAUAACCGGAUUCAACACUGGCUCGGCCGCAUUCUCCCAUCCAGCCGUCCCGGCUGCUGCACCAUUGAUGAUGAGAACGUCAGCCCCGCUAGGAAGCAGCACCAUGUCUCCCAUCACCCUCGCCAACGGCAUUGUCUCCAUCUCCCAUGCGGGGGAUGGGUCCGUGAUCUUCAGCCUCCCGCAGGUAGCCAGCGCUCGGGCGAAAGUCUUGCUCUGUGAGGCUUGCACGAAUGAGCCUGUCGGAGCUCCACCGCAGACGAGUACUUCAGCUUCUAGAGCGUUUGGCUUCAGGGGGAGGAGAACGGAUGAGCCGGAGCUCGGGUAGUUACGCGGGUCGCCGCCCGGGAUGGCUGGAUAGGUCCUGACUAUUGAAUUCUUCGCAUAGUUGAAGAGAAUUGCUCGGUUAUUCGAGAAGAUGAAGAGGUUGCCGUCGAUGUUGAGGUGGACGAAUGGGUAGAGGUUGUUCUCUUCGUUGUCAUGG
Molecule: unclassified non-coding RNA, 526 nt
Filed under: Hevea brasiliensis (rubber tree)
Lineage: Eukaryota; Viridiplantae; Streptophyta; Magnoliopsida; Malpighiales; Euphorbiaceae
Source: RNAcentral